Long non-coding RNA from Pygocentrus nattereri (red-bellied piranha), 2362 nucleotides. NCBI's taxonomy places the organism in Eukaryota, Metazoa, Chordata, Actinopteri, Characiformes, Serrasalmidae. The record is from Ensembl.
AGUGAACUCAAAAUGUUAAGACAGACUGGUUACUAUUUUUAAAAUUGUAUUUAGAACAAUUUUUUUAUAGUAUGCAUGUACAAUACUGUACUUAAUGCCACUAUACUCAUACAUAAGCAUAUUCUUUUAAUUUUUUUUGCAUUUUUUUCAGUCUGUUUAAAUGUUUUCUUGUCAUUGUAGGGAUAUUCUAGUAAAAUGGAUGUGGUCAGUCCCAGCCAAAUCUGUUGUUUUCUCAGCAGUAGGUCAGCUGUGCAUGUGAAAGUCUCUGUUCUCUGUUCUUUUUUUUUAUUUUUUUUUACAGAAUCUCACUUCAGGUUCUUGGCGGUGAUUAUCAUGACAUGUGUGGGAAUGCUAUUCUUUGUGUGCGUGUUCAGUUUGGUUCAUGUACUCAAACGGAUCAACAGCUGCAACCUGUCAGUUUCUGCCUCCUACAAUCUCAGAGACAAUCAGAAAUCAGACCCAGAACAUACAGAGGAUGACUAUGUGAGAAUGAAACCUGGUGUGGGUCGGGUUCACUCACCUGCAGCCGAGGAUAAAAAUUCACCUUCAUCAGAACCUUACUCGAGCCUACCCACGCCUCAAACAGGUGCAACGGUGGCCAACAUGAGCCGCCCUGAGAUAGACCCAUACUAUUUAGAUCCAUUCCCUGUAAUAAAUACGGAUCUAGUUUCAGAAUACAUAGAUCCAAAUGCACACAGACUCGGCAGUGUGUAUGAAAACCUCAAGGCCGAUUCUAUCCAAGAGCCAGUCUAUCAGACCGUAGACCUCACAUAAGGCUAAUGUAAAAGCAGUUGCUGGUAAUGUUGUUUUGGUGGUAUUUUAUUUUAUGGUACAGUAAGGACCUGAUAUGUAAUAAGUAAAGCUGUAGCAGGGCCAUUGGCUCAGUAUGUAAAGGUCCAGGGCUCAGUCCAGUUCAUUGUAGGGUUGUUUUGGGGUCUCCUGAUUCAGGUAAGAAUGUGAGGAUCUACACAUCAACAAACUUGCAGGAAUUCAGCAUUCGGCAUUCGUUAUUGUUGUGUUAAAAAGAAAGCCGUAAAAAAGAGGGGAAAAAGGUGAAAGUGUAAAAAGUGUCCUAAUGCUAUUCUUAAAGUCCUUUGACAAUAUAAAGACCUCUUUCCCCACAUCCACCAUCACUUCCCCAUGUCUCCUCUCAAAAGUCCUGCUAACAGAGAAACAAUGUAUCUUUACUUUUGUUACUUUACUGGGAAGUUAUAACGCUCCAUAAACAAUCAGUACAACUGCUCGUAAAACCAAACUAGAAUAUUUAUAGCCAUGUUUAUGAUGCCUUAUGAAGGCAUUAUAGUGUGUUCAUGAGUUUUCUAGACAUGGUGUUAUGUGGCAGCAGGGAGGCGGACCCAAGUGCAGAGAGGAAAACCCGGGCGAAAGGGUCUUAAAUGAAUUUAUUGAGGUGACGGAAUGUAAAUUUGGCAUUGUAAAUGUAAAUUUGCACAUUGGGGUUGAGGUGGCUAGAGCCAAGGUCAAGAGGACUUAUCACUGCGCCACCGGGAAGCGCAGACAAAACACCUCAAUGAAUAAUAAAAUAAUAAAAAAUAAAAAAAAGUGGGGAAAAGCAAACAAAGGGGACGCUGAAAGCAGCAUGCUCUAACAAAGGCAGAGUAUAAAUAAAACACUUCCUCUGUGAUUAUGAGAGGAAGAUCAAUUUGAUCUUUCACCGGUUUGUCUAAAUACCUACCUGGGCUAAAUACUGUAUCGGUCACCCUGUUUGCCACAGUCUUAAGUAGAAGAGUCCAUGGGUGUGCCAGGUUGGGCUUAAUCAGCCCAAAGGCUUCUCGGAAUUGGAGUUCCCUGAAAUUAUGGCAGCUCACCACCAUCGCCCUCUGUUGAUAGCCAGUGGUACUGGCUGGGCCCUUAUACAUGGUAUUCAUUGAAAGUGUUGCCAUCACUGUGUCAAACAAAAACAGCACACUAAAUAUUGUGAGGGUUUUGAUGAGCACUGUUUAUCCCAUCCAAACCAGACAAUGGCCAACAAAAUAUUUGAUUUCAGGUUGAUUUAUUUAUUUACUUAUUUCAUUUUUUUGGAUGUACAACAUCAGGAAAAAAUGCUUAUUUCCAGACAUUUCAUUCACUCAUCAUGUUCUCUCUUGCUCUCUGUCUCUCUCUCUCUCUCUCUCUCUCUCUCUUUUUUUUUUCUCUCUUUCUCUGACAUUAUAGUCUGCGUUUGGAAUAUCUCUUGUUCAUGGAAUGGGUGAAUGUGAAUUUCUGUACUGGAAUAAAGUUAUUCACUCCAUAUUAGUCUGUACUUCUCUGUCGUCAUACAUGUAUAUGUCUACUGAAAUGUUUAAUCAUGAAAAGCAGAAAUAUACCUAGAAUUUCUCACAUUAAUUCCUUGUACUUACAUAUU